This 321-nucleotide long non-coding RNA is filed under the name Androctonus crassicauda. Lineage: Eukaryota; Metazoa; Arthropoda; Arachnida; Scorpiones; Buthidae. The record is from RNAcentral.
UAAACCUUGAACAAAGAAGCAGCUAUGAAGUGCACUUUCUUGAUGUCUGCAUGAGAGUUACUGGAAGCUCCUUUGAGACAAAUGUAUAUAGGAAACCCAGCUCCACACCGAUAAUAAUAUCAGAAUGGUCGCCAGACAGAUGGCACCACAAAAAAGCUGCCCUAAGAUUGUUUAUAGAAAGAGCGCUUACCCACUGCAGUGAAACCGUAUUAUUUAAGAAUGAAAUAAACAAAAUAAAAAAGAUAGCAACAAACCAUGAUUACAGAGAAACCUUAAUAAAUAAACUUGUGAGGGAGGAGAAAGCCAAGUGGAGAAACAAGG